CCUACGGGAGGCAGCAGUAAGGAAUAUUGGUCAAUGGACGCAAGUCUGAACCAGCCAUGCCGCGUGAAGGAUUAAGGCCCUCUGGGUUGUAAACUUCUUUUAUAGGGGACGAAAAAAGGGCAUUCUUGCUCACUUGACGGUACCCUAGGAAUAAGCACCGGCUAACUCCGUGCCAGCAGCCGCGGUAAUACGGAGGGUGCAAGCGUUAUCCGGAUUUACUGGGUUUAAAGGGUGCGUAGGUGGGUUGGUAAGUCAGUGGUGAAAUCUUCGAGCUUAACUCGGAAACUGCCAUUGAUACUAUCAAUCUUGAAUCAUCUAGAGGUAGGCGGAAUAUGUCAUGUAGCGGUGAAAUGCUUAGAUAUGACAUAGAACACCAAUUGCGAAGGCAGCUUACUAUGGAUGUAUUGACACUGAGGCACGAAAGCGUGGGGAUCAAACAGGAUUAGAUACCCUGGUAGUCCACGCCCUAAACGAUGGAUACUCGACAUUUGUGAUAUACUAUAAGUGUCUGAGCGAAAGCAUUAAGUAUCCACCUGGAAGUACGACCGCAAGGUUGAAACUUAAAGGAAUUGACGG
This 576-nucleotide ribosomal RNA is filed under the name uncultured bacterium. Its description in RNAcentral is "bacterial SSU rRNA". It matches the Rfam family "Bacterial small subunit ribosomal RNA", at positions 338 to 916 of the family's 1533-position model. The record is from RNAcentral.